CCGAGUGGUGUGGAUGAUUAUUGGGCUUAAAGCGUCCGUAGCCGGCUCAUCAAGUCCCUCGUUAAAUCCAACGAUUUAAUCGUUGGAUUGCGGGGGAUACUGUUGGGCUAGGGGACGAGAGAGGCCGACGGUAUUUUCGGAGUAGGGGUGAAAUCCUAUAAUUCCGGGAGGACCACCAGUGGCGAAGGCUGUCGGCUAGAACGCG
RNAcentral lists this ribosomal RNA (205 nucleotides) under uncultured crenarchaeote. Its description in RNAcentral is "partial 16S ribosomal RNA". It matches the Rfam family "Archaeal small subunit ribosomal RNA", at positions 484 to 689 of the family's 1478-position model. The record is from RNAcentral. Lineage: Archaea; Thermoproteati; Thermoproteota.